GUCGAAUUUCUGAUGCAAUAUUCGUUACUAAAACGUGAUUGCACUGUAUAAAUGCUGACAGAAAAAGGAUUAAGAUUGUAGAAUUAAGAUGUUCAAUUAUAUUUAAAAACUAAGUAAAUUGAUAGGUUUCUCUAAGACACCAGAUUAUUUAGUGCGAUAUUCAAAAUGACUGAAGAAGACUCGGUGUUUGAUCCUACUUUAAAAAAGAAAAAGAAAAAGAAGAAAACUACCUUCGAUCUUGAUGCUGCAUUUAAUGAAGGGGGUAGCACUGGUGAUGCAACAGAAACCAGUGGUGAUAAGGAGAACCAGGAGCCAGACCCUCCUGUGCCAGCUGAAGAUGAUGAAACAUUGGAUUUAGAAAAUUUUGGAAGAAAGAAAAAAAAGAAAAAAAAGGCCUUUAAUUUGGAUGAACUUGAUGCAACUUUGCCAGAUACAAAAAAAGAGGAUGUUGUUGAACAACAAACAGAGGAGGUUGCUGUGGAUGAUACAUUUGACUUAGAUAUGGACUUCUCAAAAACCAAGAAGAAGAAAAAGAAAAAGAAAGAUCUUGAUGAAUUAGUGGCAGAGGAAGAACGUAAGGAAACAGAAGAUAAAGAAAAUGGCUGCACUGAAUCUGAGCGAAGUGCAGAGUAUGAAGAUACAAGUUUAUGGGUUGGAUCGGAUAGAGAUUAUACAUAUGAUGAAUUAUUGGUAAGAGUAUUUAACAUUAUGAGGGAAAAGAAUCCUGAUAUGGUUGCUGGCAAAAAGCAGAAGUUCGUUAUGCGUCCUCCUCAAGUAGUGCGUAUAGGUACCAAGAAAACAUCAUUUGCUAAUUUCACUGAAAUAUGCAAAACGCUCCAUAGGCAGCCCAAACAUUUAUUGGACUUUUUACUUGCUGAGUUAGGUACUAGUGGUUCUGUUGAUGGAAAUAGUCAACUUAUUAUUAAGGGCCGUUUCCAACAAAAACAAAUAGAAAAUGUUCUUAGGAGAUACAUUAAAGAAUAUGUUACUUGUCACACUUGUCGUUCUCCAGAUACUAUUCUUCAAAAAGAUACUCGACUAUUUUUCUUACAGUGUGAAACCUGUGGCUCGAGAUGUUCGGUGGCUAGCAUAAAAUCCGGUUUCCAGGCUGUUACUGGAAAACGUGCUGCUAUACGAGCAAAAACUGCCUAAAAAAUUUUUCACUUGUCAUAUCCACGAAUUUUGUAGCAUAAUUUUCAAAUUAUCAGAGAUGUUUUGUGUCAAAAUGCAGUUUUUACUAUACCUAUUGUAACGGCGUGCAAUCCUAACAUUUAUUUUUUACUCACAGAAUCUAACGUCGUGAAUAUCAGUAAACAAUUGUAAAAUUUUCAACGAGUAAUAAUUUUCUAUUAUCAAUUCAGGGCCUCAAGAUCUUCUCGAGUUAAUUGCGAUUUGAUGUCAUAAUAUUGUUGCAAGAACUCCCAAAAUUGGUAGCUACUUCCAACGUAAUUUAUAUUGCUGUGAGUAAUUCCAAUUUCUUGCCAUAUUAAAGGUGAUUUAGUAUGAGACCAGCCAUAAAGUGUACACAUUUUUUUUAACCAGGACUAGAAAAUAGAUUAUAUAAAAAAUAUUAUUUGUAUAUAAAA
This is a non-coding RNA of Osmia lignaria (orchard mason bee), 1586 nucleotides long. The record is from RefSeq and is a predicted model, not a curated record. NCBI's taxonomy places the organism in Eukaryota, Metazoa, Arthropoda, Insecta, Hymenoptera, Megachilidae.